CGUUCACCUCCGAGGGCCCACCCCCCCGGCCGCCGGCACACCUUUCCCUUCGCGGGGUGCAGCCCGGCGGCCUCCCUUCUCGGGGGGCACUGGAGCGGGGUGCGACUCACUGAAAGGCUCUAAACCAGCGGCCUGGUCUGCGGGGCGGCCGCCCCCAGCUCAUCGGCGCCCCUGGCUCCUCUCGCUUCACCGCUCAUGUUUCUGCCCUCCCACCUGCUGCAUUUACACCGUUUUUUCUGUCAGCUCCCAAGUCUCAGGGCAGUUUCUGCCGGGCUGCCUCCAGGUUAGGGCAGCGUCUUAGGAACCACGCUGUCUCCACACAGGCUGCUGGGGAGACGGGACCCCAAGACCCCCAGGCCCAAGCUCUGGCACCCAGUUUGCUGGGACGGGGGCCGCAGGCUUUCUUUCCCCGGUGUUUGCUACACGAGGCAGCACCAGGGUCUAUCUUGACCUUGCACAUUUUUUUUUAAUAACUGCAGUGUAAGAUUUUACAAUCUUACAUAGUUCAUCUGCCCCAUUUUUCUGCCUGUUUAGAUUUUUUAAAUUCUGUCAUUUAGUAUAAUCAUUCUUUCUCAGCCUUAGGACACACACAUUUUUAAUAAACUUGCCUUUUGUAGCUUUAGUCAAGUUAUUCAUUAAAAUGCUGAACAGAUGGGGCCAAAAGGCAAGCUUUGCAGCAGGAUCGUCUAGGUGCUACUGUGCCUUUAAUUAGCACCAUUCAAGUGGCGACACCCCACCAGCUGUACUAAGGACUUCUCCAUUUUGCCCAGACAUAUUUCAUUAAAGACCCUGUUAAAUUCUUUAUUAGGGCUCAGAUAUUCUGCCUACUGUAGUCUUCUAAUCUGCCUAGUCUUAUUAAUACAAAAUCCGAAAUCAGUGUGUCUGAAGAGGUUUGUUCUUGGCAAACCCUGUCGGCAUCCAAGCACUGCUGCUUCCUUAUCACUCUGAAGCCGAGGCCGGAAUUAAAGGCAAGCUGGCUGCGCAGGGCACCCGGAGCUCAGCCGGGCUCCAGCAGGAGACGGGUCUGGGCCUGCCUCCCAGACUUGCUGCUGCUCACAGGUGCUCAAUAAAGCCUGACUCAGCAGUCUCUCUGGACACGCCCACAG
Molecule: long non-coding RNA, 1106 nt
Organism: Bos taurus (domestic cattle)
Lineage: Eukaryota; Metazoa; Chordata; Mammalia; Artiodactyla; Bovidae
Source: Ensembl